This 76-nucleotide transfer RNA is filed under the name Deltaproteobacteria bacterium ADurb.BinA179. RNAcentral's name for it is "tRNA-Ala". It matches the Rfam family "tRNA". From Rfam's summary of the family: Transfer RNA (tRNA) molecules are approximately 80 nucleotides in length. Their secondary structure includes four short double-helical elements and three loops (D, anti-codon, and T loops). Further hydrogen bonds mediate the characteristic L-shaped molecular structure. tRNAs have two regions of fundamental functional importance: the anti-codon, which is responsible for specific mRNA codon recognition, and the 3' end, to which the tRNAs corresponding amino acid is attached (by aminoacyl-tRNA synthetases). tRNAs cope with the degeneracy of the genetic code in two manners: having more than one tRNA (with a specific anti-codon) for a particular amino acid; and 'wobble' base-pairing, i.e. permitting non-standard base-pairing at the 3rd anti-codon position. Lineage: Bacteria; Deltaproteobacteria. The record is from RNAcentral. RNAcentral also lists the same sequence under 7 other names.
GGGGCCGUAGCUCAGUUGGGAGAGCGCAUGAAUGGCAUUCAUGAGGUCGAGGGUUCGAUUCCCUUCGGCUCCACCA